AGGAGGACUACCUGUCGUUCCAAGAACUCCCCCUGCUGGCAUUGCUAUGGACGGUAAUUCUGCCCAUGUGAUUGUGAUGUCCUUGCAAGUGCCGGAUCUGAGGCAGGUGGACUCCCUGGGAUGCCAGGUAAAUCCCCCCAUCGCCAUCCCACGCUGGUGAGCGGGUAAGUACCCUGGAUGUACCCUGGACCCGUCGGUGUUUAGAGCUGGGUCCCCAAGGACGGCAUAGCACGCCCACCAUCCUUAAGGGGUUAAAAAGG
Non-coding RNA from Pelobates cultripes (western spadefoot toad), 260 nucleotides. Lineage: Eukaryota; Metazoa; Chordata; Amphibia; Anura; Pelobatidae. The record is from the annotation of a GenBank genome assembly.